AGGACUACACUUUCAGGGAUCAUUUCUAUAGUUCAUUACCAGAGAGUUUCUCUGAACGCGUAGAGCACCGGAAACCACGAGGAGGAGGCACAGCAUCCUCCCCUGAGUGUGAAGCCGGCUCUUGGUGCUGCUACCGCCACUUGCCACUGACAAUCGUUCUCUCCUUUUUGGGGAGAGUAAGAGGGAGAGGACGCAGUCUGAGUGGU
Molecule: small nucleolar RNA, 206 nt
Filed under: Microcebus murinus (gray mouse lemur)
Lineage: Eukaryota; Metazoa; Chordata; Mammalia; Primates; Cheirogaleidae
Description: Small nucleolar RNA U3 (ENSMICG00000018261.3)
Rfam family: Small nucleolar RNA U3
About the family: Small nucleolar RNAs (snoRNAs) are involved in the processing and modification of rRNA in the nucleolus.
Source: Rfam by way of RNAcentral